This is a long non-coding RNA of Daphnia magna, 185 nucleotides long. RefSeq lists it as uncharacterized. The record is from RefSeq and is a predicted model, not a curated record. Lineage: Eukaryota; Metazoa; Arthropoda; Branchiopoda; Diplostraca; Daphniidae. The transcript is spliced from 3 exons.
CAAAAAUCUUCCUUACGGAAACCUCUUCAAACUUUGAAUGGACAAAACCUGAGAGUGCUUGAAAAGAAGAAAUCUUUGAAGAUUACUACGAAGGUUCCACAUACUACAAAGGAUAACGAAAAUGUUGUUCCAAUCAACCACUGCAGCACAAAUUCAAAUCUUGGAUGUGGUUCAAAUCUGAUGUU